UGUGGUGCUGCACCCAGUUGAAAGCCUGCACUGAUUGUGAUGAACUUUCCUAACAGGAGGCACGGGUCCUUCGUCGGACGCUGGCUGGGGAUGUAUGCUGCGAUGCGGGCAGAUGAUGCUGGCCCAAGCACUGAUCUGCAGACACUUAGGGAGAGAUUGGCAAUGGGAAAAACACAAAAAACAACCAGAAGAAUAUCACAGAAUCCUACGAUGCUUUCUCGACAGGAAGGCUUGCUGUUAUUCAAUCCACCAGAUGGCACAGGUGGGUGUUGGAGAGGGGAAGUCAAUUGGAGAAUGGUUUUGGACCAAAUACAGUUGCUCAGUACUAAAGUAAGUGAGAUCAUACCAGUCUCAUUCAGAACGUACUCCCCUGGGGCAGCCAAGAGAAGGCCCAGGCAGAGUUUUGAAGGCUGCAUCUCCCCCUGUCCC
RNAcentral lists this long non-coding RNA (429 nucleotides) under Anas platyrhynchos (mallard). RNAcentral's name for it is "lncRNA (ENSAPLG00020003478.1)". The record is from RNAcentral. Lineage: Eukaryota; Metazoa; Chordata; Aves; Anseriformes; Anatidae.